CCCUUAGAUGUUCUGGGCCGCACGCGCGCUACACUGAUGCAUUCAACGAGCCUAGCCUUGACCGAGAGGUCCGGGUAAUCUUUGAAACUGCAUCGUGAUGGGGCUAGAUUAUUGCAAUUAUUAAUCUUCAACGAGGAAUGCCUAGUAAGCGUGAUUCAUCAAAUCGCGUUGAUUACGUCCCUGCCCUUUGUACACACCGCCCGACGCUCCUACCGAUUGAGUGUGUUGGUGAGGAGUUUGGAUUGGCCUCGGAAGGUGGUUCGCCACCGUCCGUAGCUGAGAAGUUCUCCAAACCGCCCCACUUAGAGGAAGGAGAAGUCGUAACA
RNAcentral lists this ribosomal RNA (326 nucleotides) under uncultured eukaryote. RNAcentral's name for it is "partial 18S ribosomal RNA". It matches the Rfam family "Eukaryotic small subunit ribosomal RNA", at positions 1470 to 1796 of the family's 1831-position model. The record is from RNAcentral.